AUAGAUCAUUCAAAAGGAAACACAAUUGAGAAAUAUUGUACAAGACAAAAUUCAGAAGUCAUUAGGUAGGCAGAGAGUAAUGUCAUACAUGCAUCAAAUAACGCAUGUUCCAGUAAAUAAAACUUUGAUCAGGUAUGCUACUUCAAACAAAUCUAAGGUUUGAACUAUGAAGUGAUGAAUUUACGCCAAUAUAAACUCCAGGACUUCUUUAUCAGACUCAGGUACCUAAUCAACAAGAUUUAGCAUUUCAUGCAUGUUAUACAUCCAGUCCACAAAAAUUUAUGAGAUAUCUCAUCAUUAAGUCACAGUGACCAUAUUAUUAUGUUAUGAAAUUGCUGUUCCGAAAGUGACAGCUAGAUUGAUGCAAGGCUAGUGACAGAGAAGUGAAUCUGAAUAAAAGAGGAGGUCAUGGGGGUGAUAAAGGUAAAAAUGCAUGUUCUUAUAAAUGAGUAUUUAGGAAGAAACCGAACAGUUCUCAAAAUCCCCGACCUUGCAGCAAAGAAUAACAUUUGUCACCCAUCAUUAAACCAGACAAAACAGAACAAUUACGCAGGAAAAUAAAUAUAUUCAAACAAAAUAUGGGAGAGUCAUCACUACAACUUCUUAGUGCAAAGAUACAACUUCUAUUAAUUUCAGAAAUCAUCAACCGCGUUGUAGUUUAAUUAUGCAACAUAGAGUGCAUUAG
RNAcentral lists this unclassified non-coding RNA (685 nucleotides) under Hevea brasiliensis (rubber tree). The record is from RNAcentral. Lineage: Eukaryota; Viridiplantae; Streptophyta; Magnoliopsida; Malpighiales; Euphorbiaceae.